Molecule: microRNA, 23 nt
Filed under: Aedes aegypti (yellow fever mosquito)
Lineage: Eukaryota; Metazoa; Arthropoda; Insecta; Diptera; Culicidae
Description: aae-miR-11915
Source: miRBase by way of RNAcentral
CGAGAUACGGAGAGAUUGCGACA